Molecule: ribosomal RNA, 255 nt
Filed under: uncultured bacterium
Lineage: Bacteria
Description: partial 16S ribosomal RNA
Rfam family: Bacterial small subunit ribosomal RNA
Source: RNAcentral
CGUAGGGUGCAAGCGUUAAUCGGAAUUACUGGGCGUAAAGCGUGCGCAGGGCGGUUUUGUAAGUCUGUCGUGAAAUCCCCCGGGCUCAACCUGGGAAUUGCGAUGGAGACUGCAAGGCUAGAAUCUGGCAGAGGGGGUAGAAUUCCACGUGUAGCAGUGAAAUGCGUAGAGAUGUGGAGGAACACCGAUGGCGAAGGCAGCCCCCUGGGUCAAGAUUGACGCUCAUGCACGAAAGCGUAGGGAGCAAACAGGAUU